RNAcentral lists this ribosomal RNA (254 nucleotides) under uncultured bacterium. RNAcentral's name for it is "partial 16S ribosomal RNA". It matches the Rfam family "Bacterial small subunit ribosomal RNA", at positions 524 to 776 of the family's 1533-position model. The record is from RNAcentral.
UACGGGGGGGGCGAGCGUUGUUCGGAAUUACUGGGCGUAAAGGGUUUGUAGGUGGCCUGCUAAGUCAGACGUGAAAUCCCUCAGCUUAACUGGGGAACUGCGUCUGAUACUGGAUGGCUUGAGUUUGGGAGAGGGAUGCGGAAUUCCAGGUGUAGCGGUGAAAUGCGUAGAUAUCUGGAGGAACACCGGUGGCGAAGGCGGCAUCCUGGACCAACACUGACGCUGAGUGAGCGAAAGCCAGGGGAGCAAACGGG